RNAcentral lists this ribosomal RNA (750 nucleotides) under uncultured Glomerales. RNAcentral describes it as "LSU rRNA". It matches the Rfam family "Eukaryotic large subunit ribosomal RNA", at positions 38 to 633 of the family's 3401-position model. The record is from RNAcentral. Lineage: Eukaryota; Fungi; Glomeromycota; Glomeromycetes; Glomerales; Glomeraceae.
GCAUAUCAAUAAGCGGAGGAAAAGAAAAUAACAAUGAUUCCCUUAGUAACGGCGAGUGAAGGGGGAAAAGCUCAAAUUUUAAAUCUGAUUGGUUAUACUUAUCAGAGUUGUAAUUUGAAGAAGCGUUUUCCGCGUCUCGGUUGGCCCAAGUCCUUUGGGAUAAGGCAUCAUGGAGGGUGAGAAUCCCGUUCGGUUGACCUUAUGACGUUCUACGAUACGCUUUCAAAGAGUCGAGUUGUUUGGGAUUGCAGCUCAAAAUGGGAGGUAAAUUUCUCCUAAGGCUAAAUAUUGGCGAGAGACCGAUAGCGAACAAGUACCGUGAGGGAAAGAUGAAAAGAACUUUGAAAAGAGAGUAAAAUAGUACGUGAAAUUGUUGAAAGGGAAACGAUUGAAGUCAGUCGUACCGACGAGAAAUCAACUCUUCGAGUGUUAACAUGUGGGCGUGCGUGAGUCUUUAACGGGCCUCGCUGUUUGCAUGUUUGUUCUUUUUGGGUGUACUUUUUCGUAUGGUAGGCCAACAUCAGUUUCGAAUAUCAUAAAAUGACCGGAGGAAUGUAGCUUCGAUCUCGUAUUGAAGUGUUAUAGCCUUUGGUAGAUGUGGUGUUUGGGACUGAGGAUUGCAACGAAUAUCCUUUGGGCUAUCCGUCUGAUCUCUGAAAGUUGCUUAGGUGCCGAAAGCAUGCUUACGGUCAUUUAAGUUGACGGUCAAAAGGUUAGAACGUGAUUACAUUCGUUAAGGAUGUUGACGUA